RNAcentral lists this long non-coding RNA (802 nucleotides) under Rattus norvegicus (Norway rat). RNAcentral's name for it is "long non-coding RNA NONRATT015319". Lineage: Eukaryota; Metazoa; Chordata; Mammalia; Rodentia; Muridae. The record is from RNAcentral.
GGGCUGCCGCUUUUCCUCCCUUUCUGGUCGGUUUGUAGUGCGUCACUCAAAAAACUGUAAGAAAAGUUGGUACUAAGAAGUGCCUUUCCUGACGUCUCUGCUGCUUGGAACCGCUUCUAGAGCAGCCUCUGCUUUUGCCUUGCUUGCUGCCAGCUAGACUGUGACGACAGCACAUCCGCCCUCCACCUCUAGCCCAGACACCCCCAUUUCUACUUCUAAUCAGGAGAAAAGCUCUGAGUAUCUGCCAUUGCCCUAGGCUGCUUUAGUUUAGAAGAAAAGUUUGCUGAAAAAGUAAGAUACCUUCUGCCAGGAAAUCAAGGAGGAAAAAAAAAUCAUUUUCUCGAUUUUGCUCUAAACUGCUGCAUCUGUCUAUGCCAAACUAAUCAAUACCGAUUGCACCACCAAACUCCAUCGCAAAUCAGCUGUGAGGAGAUCCCCUGUCAGACAACUUUGCUGAGAGCAGCUUGGAAAUUCGGUGUCAAAGGGUCUGCCACGUUUUCAUGCUUGCAUUUUGGGCUCCAAAUUGGCACUGGGAAGGGGUUACGAGCACAAGGCUGAUUCCAGGCCCUCCUUUAAACACCCAUCUACUUACAACCGUGGUAUUUCUCUAAAAACCAAAACCUCUUUGAAUUAACAGUUUCAUGCUGUGAAUUUCUAGCGGAGGUCUUUCCCUUGAUAUUGAAGUCACACUUUUCCAUGUGCCGUUAAAGCGGGGACUGGGGAAGCAGCCUUUCGGACAUUUUCACAGUCAUCUCACACUUCUGAGUUUUAUCAGUUCCUAUUUUGUUUAGUUUUUGUCUUU